AGAAGGGUGGCUCAGUGGUAGAGCACAUGCUUAGCAUACAUGAGGUCUUGGGUUCAAUGCCCCAUACCUCCA
Molecule: transfer RNA, 72 nt
Filed under: Camelus bactrianus (Bactrian camel)
Lineage: Eukaryota; Metazoa; Chordata; Mammalia; Artiodactyla; Camelidae
Also listed under: 2 other names
Rfam family: tRNA
About the family: Transfer RNA (tRNA) molecules are approximately 80 nucleotides in length. Their secondary structure includes four short double-helical elements and three loops (D, anti-codon, and T loops).
Source: Rfam by way of RNAcentral